Molecule: unclassified non-coding RNA, 640 nt
Filed under: Hevea brasiliensis (rubber tree)
Lineage: Eukaryota; Viridiplantae; Streptophyta; Magnoliopsida; Malpighiales; Euphorbiaceae
Source: RNAcentral
GUGCAUUUUGAUGGAACUAUUUGACAUCAUGUUAUUACAAUACUUGAUGUAUAGGUAAAUUCAUCCUUGAGAUUUGUUUAAAUAAGAUAAGCUAGUGAGACUAAGGUAUCUAUGCUUUGAUUUUAAGUUCAUCAUAGCCCUUAAGUUUGAGGUGUGGAAGCAUAUCGCUAAACAACUUGAUACCUAUAUGAAAUAUGUUAAGUUUUCGGAUCUAAAACUAAGUGUGAAGGAAUUGUGAUAGGUAAUUGAAAUAGCUAACGACCACAAAAAUAAAAAAAAAAUCACAAUUGCUUAAAACACACCAAUGGUGUCCUUGACCUUUGAUAAUUAAACCAAAUGAAGCCUCAAAUCAAAUACUCAAAAGAAACUAGGAUUUUCCAUUAGUGUCUCUAUCCAUAAAAUGUUGGCAUUGUAUUAACGGUUAUGUACAAGGAAGAAAAAGUGUUAACCAUAUUUUGCGGAGUAGGAUAUAUUGACAGCUGGAAAGUAUUGGUUCAACUAUUAAAGUUCAUCGGUACAAUUGGAAACAUCUAUCAAUUGACUACAAUUUAAAAGAACAACAUAGAGGAAAAAAUUGGUCAUUAUGCCCAUUAAAAAGUCCAAUGUAUUAGAAUUGAACUCAAGAAAUCUUACCUUUCGU